RNAcentral lists this ribosomal RNA (490 nucleotides) under uncultured bacterium. RNAcentral describes it as "partial 16S ribosomal RNA". It matches the Rfam family "Bacterial small subunit ribosomal RNA", at positions 28 to 507 of the family's 1533-position model. The record is from RNAcentral.
GAUGAACGCUAGCGCUAGGCUUAACACAUGCAAGUCGAGGGGCAGCAUGGUCUUAGCUUGCUAAGACUGAUGGCGACCGGCGCACGGGUGCGUAACGCGUAUGCAACUUGCCUCACAGAGGGGGAUAACCCGUCGAAAGACGGACUAAUACCGCGUACACUUGGGAUAGGGCAUCCUGACCCAAGGAAAUGAAAUUCGCUGUGAGAUAGGCAUGCGUCCCAUUAGCUAGUUGGUGAGGUAACGGCUCACCAAGGCGACGAUGGGUAGGGGAACUGAGAGGUUGAACCCCCACACUGGUACUGAGACACGGACCAGACUCCUACGGGAGGCAGCAGUGAGGAAUAUUGGUCAAUGGGCGAGAGCCUGAACCAGCCAAGUCGCGUGAAGGAUGACUGUCUUAUGGAUUGUAAACUUCUUUUAUACGGGAAUAACAAGAGUCACGUGUGGCUCCCUGCAUGUACCGUAUGAAUAAGCAUCGGCUAACUCCGUG